This is an RNA transcript of Athene cunicularia (burrowing owl), 2446 nucleotides long. It is a transcript of the gene named DEAD-box helicase 25, with no coding region annotated. The record is from RefSeq and is a predicted model, not a curated record. NCBI's taxonomy places the organism in Eukaryota, Metazoa, Chordata, Aves, Strigiformes, Strigidae. The transcript has 10 exons.
CUUGGCAGAAGUCUCGCUGCUCAACAAGCUGAUCCGCACAUCCCUCGUGGAGUCCAGCCACUGCGUAGAGGUCCUGCAGCAGGACCCCAGCUCCCCGCUCUUCUCUGUCAAAAGCUUCGAAGAGCUGCCCCUGAAGAAGGAGCUUUUGCAGGGGGUUUACAUCAUGGGCUUCAACAGACCAUCCAAAAUCCAGGAGAUGGCUCUGCCGAUCAUGCUGGCAUAUCCGCCCCAAAAUCUGAUUGCCCAGAGCCAGUCAGGGACAGGGAAAACAGCAGCUUUUGUCUUGGCGAUGCUGAGCAGAGUUAAUGCCACUGAGAAAUACCCGCAGUGCCUCUGCUUGGCUCCCACCUACGAGCUGGCCCUGCAAAUUGGGUGCGUGAUUGAGAGCAUCGGGAGGUUUUGUGCUGAUGUGAAGGUUACAUACGCUGUCCGGGGAAAUAGAGUUCUGCAGGGCACCAGGCUGCAGGAGCAGAUCGUCAUCGGGACUCCGGGGACGAUGCUGGACUGGUGCUUCAAACGCAGACUCAUAGACAUGAAGAAGGUCAAGUUGUUUGUGCUGGAUGAAGCCGACAUCAUGAUGGACACUCAGGGCCUCUGCUGUCAAAGCAUGCGUGUUCAGAGGGCUUUACCCAGCGGCUGCCAGAUGCUGCUGUUCUCAGCUACAUUCAAGGAAAACGUGCGGGCAUUUGCCAUGCAGAUAAUCUCCAACCCCAUCGUGAUAAAGCUGCGCAAGGACGAGCUCACCCUGAGCAACAUCCGGCAGUACUACUUCAUGUGCAGGAACAGGGAAGAGAAGUACAGAGCCCUCUGCAAUAUCUAUGGCAGCAUCACCAUCGGCCAGGCUAUGAUCUUCUGCCAGACUCGGAGGAGCGCGGACUGGUUGUCGGUGGAGAUGAGCCAAGAUGGGCACCAGGUCGCCAUCCUGACAGCAGAGCUGACAGUAGCCCAGCGGGCCCACGUCAUCCAGCGCUUCCGUGACGGGAAGGAAAAGGUCCUCAUCGCCACCAACGUCUGCGCCAGAGGCAUUGAUGUGCAGCAGGUCACCGUUGUGGUGAACUUCACCCUUCCCACCGGGCAGAAGAACCAGCCGGAUUUCGAGACCUACCUCCACCGCAUCGGGCGAACGGGACGUUUUGGGAAGAAGGGCAUCGCCUUCAGCAUGGUGGAAAGUCAGAACUUGGAGCUCGUGCGGAUGAUAGAGGAACAUUUCCGCAUUUUAUCUACCUUUACCCUGCAAGUCCUGGUCCGGGGGGAGCUGGUACCCCAGCUUAGCCCUGGAUGGGGGAGAAAAGCCAGCCGCUGAAACCUUACCUGACUGCAAAUCGCUCAUCACUCACAAACAUCAUGAGGAUUUCCAUGGAGUUUUCAAGAGGCUGUCGCUGCACCAGUGGCUUUUCAAAUCCCAGUGCCUGUUUUCCCUGUGGUUAUUUUAAGGGAAAAGAGAGUUAUCUUCUGAGUGGCAGAAGUGUCAGGCAACGGAUGAGCAGCUCGAAUAACCACGAGGUGGGAUGAGCCUGACCACAGGCACAGCCAGAAUUAGCCAGAAGAGCCCAGUGUGGGAUUUCCAAGGAUGAAAAUCCGAGCAGAUGAACUCCCAGCCACCCAACUUUUUCCUUCUUAAUGUUGCAAUUCAAGGGCUGGGGCCUGGAUAAAGGAACUUCCCCUUCUGGCAUCGCUGUGGAGAGACCAAGAUCAAGCAGCUGGACCCGGACAACAUGGACGAGCUCGAGAAGCUUGAAAACUGAGUGAGCAAUGGGGAUUUGCUCUCCCAGAUCACAGUUCUGGCUCAAAACAGGAGGAAAAGUUCCAGGGGAAAAUCUCCCAGUUCACGUUUUCUCAAGCUGUUUAGUUUUGUUACAGUGUUUUAAGAGGCGGCAAGGGGGAGCCCUCAGCCCUAGCGGUUAUUGUUCUUGCUUUUGUCCCUUGUUGUAUCCCCAAGGUUUUCAUAGCCUGAGGGAUCCCCUAAGGAGUUUAACAUGAGGUAAAGCUCCCCAAAAAUGGGUCUAGGUACGCUCGGAGGGGUCAGAAAAUGGGCAAAAUCCAGUAACUGGCCCAAAAAAUCCGCUGCUGGUCUGCAGGCAGCAGUGGCGGGUGGCGUUUCUGUCAGAAACAGCUCAGAAAAAAACUUUUGUAACUUAACUCCUUUCUCCUGAUUUUUUUCUUUUAAAAAAGCCCAAACUAACCCCUUCUCGCUAGAUGGCAGCAGGCAGCCGCCACCAUCCCCAAUCCCACCGGGGCCCAAACGAGGGACACGUUUGUCCCCAAAAGAUUUUCCCAGCACUGGCGCCGAUCUCUGACAAAACGGAAUGAUUUAUCCCCGAAGGCGUUGGGAGCCUCCCGCUCGGUAUUAACGGUGUCGGGUUUGGUAACGAGCAAUUAAUUGUAAUUAAGGAAGUGGCGGCGGGGUGGGGGAGGAGGGACACCAGGUAAUUUUCUGCUGUUUUGG